This 72-nucleotide transfer RNA is filed under the name Camelus bactrianus (Bactrian camel). It matches the Rfam family "tRNA". Rfam says of the family: Transfer RNA (tRNA) molecules are approximately 80 nucleotides in length. RNAcentral also lists the same sequence under 3 other names. Lineage: Eukaryota; Metazoa; Chordata; Mammalia; Artiodactyla; Camelidae. The record is from Rfam by way of RNAcentral.
GAGGGUGUAGCUCAGUGGUAGGGCACGUGCUUAGCAUACAUAAAGUCCUGGGCUCGAUCCCCAGUACCUCCA